Molecule: long non-coding RNA, 487 nt
Filed under: Pan paniscus (pygmy chimpanzee)
Lineage: Eukaryota; Metazoa; Chordata; Mammalia; Primates; Hominidae
Description: lncRNA (ENSPPAG00000044405.1)
Source: RNAcentral
CAUAAAAGCCUAUGUCCUCCUGACUUCAGGGUAACCAGUUUCUCCUGUGGCUGCAGCCAGAGGUAGUCAAGACUGGAACAUUCAAAAUGGCAUCUCCUUGGAGACAGAUCAAAAGCUGAAAUCUUCCUCUGGCAGCUAUCUUCAAAAGUACCACCUCCAACAUUGGGGAUCAAAUUUAAGCACGGUAUUUGAAGAAGACAAACGUCCAAAAAAUGGCAAGGAUCUUAAGAAAAUUUUUCAUGAUAAUCUGAGUGGACCUUACUUGAAUUCAUUGAAAGAGUUUAAGUGUGGAACUGGAGGGGAAAAAAAAGUCACUGUGGAUUACAGCUUCAUCUCCUGCCCAAGAGAUAACAGCCUGACCUUUCUGGAAGCCUGCCUUAUAGACUUAGAACUUGUCUAUUGAGCCACCAGAGUGGUCAUUCUAGGUGGAAGGGACUUGCCUAUUCUCAGAUGAGACUUUGGACUUGAACUUUUUGGUUAAUGCUGG